UUGGUGUUUUUACUGUCUUCUGAUUGGUUAAAAUUAUUAGUUUUAUUUUCAAUGUUGUCAAUUUUGAUGGCGACACGCCCACUCUGACGUUGUGUAUUCAUACGCCAACAUGUGUGUACGUUGUUAUUGAUAAUAUGAAUAAUAUAAAAAGUUCUUUGAGCCUUAUUUUUGAUAUAAAUUUAUUUAUAAUGAAUGGCAAUAAUUUAUUUUGAUUUUAUUGAACCAUAAAACUAAUUUUUGACUCUUCACAUUUUACAUAAUCCGCUUCGCGGAUUAUUCAAUGUGAAGAGUCAAAAAUUAGUUUUAUGGUUCAAUAAAAUCAAAAUAGAUAAUAGCCAUUCAUUAAUCAUCUCAACGAGAUUGAUUUUCUCGCUUGAGCCGGGACGGCGAAAGCGAGAAAUGCAAUCGAGUUGAGAUGACCAAUGAUAAUCUAUUUAUCGCUAUUUUACCUAUGACGACGUUGUCAAUUUCAUGUCAAUUUCGUUAGCAACGCCACGUGCCUCCUUAGUUUCUAGCGAUAACUUCCCAACUCAAGCGAGU
Molecule: long non-coding RNA, 540 nt
Filed under: Mytilus galloprovincialis (Mediterranean mussel)
Lineage: Eukaryota; Metazoa; Mollusca; Bivalvia; Mytilida; Mytilidae
Source: RNAcentral